GAUGAACGCUAGCCACAGGCUUAACACAUGCAAGUCGAGGGGUAACGAGAGGAAAGCUUGCCUUCCUUGUCGACGACCGGCGCACGGGUGAGUAACGCGUAUCCAACCUGCCCCCAACUAGGGAAUAACCUUGCGAAAGUAAGACUAAUACCCUAUAAUUUCCUCAGAUGUCAUCUGACGAGGAAUAAAGAUUUAUCGGUUGUGGAUGGGGAUGCGUCUGAUUAGCUUGUUGGCGGGGUAAUGGCCCACCAAGGCAACGAUCAGUAGGGGUUCUGAGAGGAAGGUCCCCCACAUUGGAACUGAGACACGGUCCAAACUCCUACGGGAGGCAGCAGUGAGGAAUAUUGGUCAAUGGGCGGAAGCCUGAACCAGCCAAGUAGCGUGCAGGAUGACGGCCCUAUGGGUUGUAAACUGCUUUUAUACAGGAAUAAAGUUAGCCACGUGUGGUUAUUUGUAGGUACUGUAUGAAUAAGGACCGGCUAAUUCCGUGCCAGCCGCCGCGGUAA
Molecule: ribosomal RNA, 506 nt
Filed under: uncultured bacterium
Lineage: Bacteria
Description: partial 16S ribosomal RNA
Rfam family: Bacterial small subunit ribosomal RNA
Source: RNAcentral